RNAcentral lists this ribosomal RNA (530 nucleotides) under uncultured bacterium. RNAcentral describes it as "bacterial SSU rRNA". It matches the Rfam family "Bacterial small subunit ribosomal RNA", at positions 777 to 1320 of the family's 1533-position model. The record is from RNAcentral.
AAUAGAUACCCUGGUAGUCCUAGCCGUAAACGAUGAACACUAGGCGUAGUCGGUAUCGACCCCGGCUGUGCCGUAGCUAACGCAUUAAGUGUUCCGCCUGGGGAGUACGGCCGCAAGGCUAAACUCAAAGGAAUUGACGGGGGCCCGCACAAGCAGCGGAGCGUGUGGUUUAAUUCGUCGCAACGCGAAGAACCUUACCAGGGCUUGACAUGUGGCGGAAAACGGCGGAAACGUCGUCCUCCCGCAAGGGACCGUCAUGCAGGUGUUGCAUGGCUGUCGUCAGCUCGUGUCGUGAGAUGUUGGGUUAAGUCCCGCAACGAGCGCAACCCCCGUGGCAUGUUGUAUCUCUCAUGCCAGACUGCCGAGAGAAACUCGGAGGAAGGUGGGGAUGACGCCAAGUCAGCAUGGCCCUUACGUCCUGGGCUACACACACGCUACAAUGGCCGGUACAACGGGUUGCCAAACCGCGAGGUGAGCUAAUCCCGUUAAAGCCGGUCUCAGUUCGGAUUGCAGGCUGCAACUCGCCUGCA